This 252-nucleotide ribosomal RNA is filed under the name uncultured bacterium. RNAcentral describes it as "partial 16S ribosomal RNA". It matches the Rfam family "Bacterial small subunit ribosomal RNA", at positions 524 to 776 of the family's 1533-position model. The record is from RNAcentral.
UACGAAGGGGGCUAGCGUUGCUCGGAAUUACUGGGCGUAAAGGGCGCGUAGGCGGACAGUUUAGUCAGAGGUGAAAGCCCAGGGCUCAACCUUGGAACUGCCUUUGAUACUGGCUGUCUUGAGUUCGGGAGAGGUGAGUGGAAUGCCGAGUGUAGAGGUGAAAUUCGUAGAUAUUCGCAAGAACACCAGUGGCGAAGGCGGCUCACUGGCCCGAUACUGACGCUGAGGCACGAAAGCGUGGGAGCAAACAGG